GUCUUUUUGUAAUAUAUAUAUAUAUAUAUUUAUAUUUAAAGUCUAACCUGCCCACUGAUAAAUUUAAAGGGCCGCAGUAUUUUGACUGUGCAAAGGUAGCAUAAUCAUUAGUUUUUUAAUUGAAAGCUUGUAUGAAUGGUUGGAUGAAAUAUUUACUGUCUCAUAAAAAUUUAUUAUAGAAAUUAAUUUUUUUGUUAAAAAGCAAAAAUAUAUUUAAAGGACGAGAAGACCCUAUAGAUCUUUAUAAUUUUAUUAUAAAAUUUUUAAAGAUUAAUUUAAAUUUUAUAAAAAAAAUUAUUUUGUUGGGGUGACAAUAAAAUUAAAUAAACUUUUAUUAUUUAAUUACAUUAAUUAAUGAAUAUUUGAUCCAUUUAUAAUGAUUAAAAAAUUAAGAUACCUUAGGGAUAACAGCGUAAUUUUUUUAAAGAGUUCAUAUCGAUAAAAAAGAUUGCGACCUCGAUGUUGGAUUAAGAAUUAUUUUAGGUGUAGAAGUUUAAAAUCUAGGUCUGUUCGACCUUUAAAUUCUU
RNAcentral lists this ribosomal RNA (527 nucleotides) under Limonia sp. PMO 200984. RNAcentral's name for it is "partial 16S ribosomal RNA". The stretch from base 404 to 527 matches the Rfam family "Bacterial large subunit ribosomal RNA", at positions 2473 to 2597 of the family's 2925-position model. Lineage: Eukaryota; Metazoa; Arthropoda; Insecta; Diptera; Limoniidae. The record is from RNAcentral.